UCCACUUUUCUACCUUCUACAUAUUGGCUAAAAGAAAGAACACCUUUUCUCCGAGGCUCAAAUCAAGGUUCUAAGGAUAAAUUGACAAAAAAGGUAGGCUUGAAAGGCUCAAACGGUUCAAAGAAGGCCCAAAUCAUAUCCCAAAUUACUUACUACCAACACUUCGUAUCAUAAAUGUCCUAAGGUGAGAUUUAAAACCGAACAAAGCAUGAUUGAGCACAAAUAAAUUCCAAAUUUAAAAUGCAAAACAUUCAACCAAAGCAAUGCACAAGGCGUGAUUCCUAGCAAUAAUUCACUUCUACGUUCCGU
This 309-nucleotide long non-coding RNA is filed under the name Erythranthe guttata (spotted monkey flower). RNAcentral's name for it is "long non-coding RNA (EGUT_LNC000743)". Lineage: Eukaryota; Viridiplantae; Streptophyta; Magnoliopsida; Lamiales; Phrymaceae. The record is from RNAcentral.